AUCAGUUUAUUUCUUAAUUAAGAACUCCUUUUUAUACGACCGCAAAAAAAUUUUGUGGUCGUAUAUUGGUAUGACGUCGGCGUCGUCAUCCGAAGACACAUUAGUUUUCGCACUCUAACUUUAGUUUAAGUGAAUGGAUCUCAAUGAAAUUUUAAAAUAAGGUUCAAUACCACAAAAGGAAAGUGGGGAUUGAUUUUGGGGGUUAUGGUACCACCAGUUAAGGAAUUAGGGGCCAAAAAUAAGCAUUUUUGUAACUUCCAGACAUAACUUGUGUGUAAGUGUAUGGAUCUCACAAGGUUCCAUAUCACAAAGGGAAUGCUGGGAUUGAUUUUUGGGGGUAAUUGCCUCCAAAUUUUAGGAAUUAGGGGCCAAAAAGGGGCAAAAAACAAGCAUUUUUCUAGUUUCAUGACAAUAACUUGUGUGCAAGUCUAUGGAUCUCUCUGACAUUGUAUCACAAGGUUCCAUAUCACAAAGGGAAAGCUGGAAUAGAGUUUGGGGGUAAUUGCCCAAAAAGUUUAGGAAUAAGGGGCCAAAAAUAAGCAUUUUUCUAGUUUCCAGACAAUAACUUGUGUUCAAGUGUAUGGAUCUCUCUGAAAUUGUACUGCAAGGUACCAUACCACAAAGGGAAUGCUGGGAUUGAUUUUGGGGGUAAUUGCCUCCAAAUUUUAGGAAUUGGGGGCCAAAAAGGGGCAAAAAACAAGCAUUUUUCUAGUUUCAUGACAAUAACUUGUGUGUAAGUCUCUGGAUCUCUCUGACAUUGUAUCACAUGGUUCCAUAUCACAAAGGGAAUGCUGGGAUUGAUUUUGGGGGUAAUUGCCUCCAAAUUUUAGGAAUUAGGGGCCAAAAAGGGGCAAAAAAACAAGCAUUUUUCUAGUUUCAUGGCAAUAACUUGUGUGUAAGUGUAUGGAUCUUUAUGAAAUUGUACUACAAGGUUCCAUAUCACAAAGGGAAAGCUGGAAUAGAGUUUGGGGGUAAUUGCCCAAAAAGUUUAGGAAUAAGGGGCCAAAAAUAAGCAUUUUUCUAGUUUCCAGACAAUAACUUGUGUUCAAGUGUAUGGAUCUCUCUGAAAUUGUACUGCAAGGUACCAUACCACAAAGGGAAUGCUGGGAUUGAUUUUGGGGGUAAUUGCCUCCAAAUUUUAGGAAUUGGGGGCCAAAAAGGGGCAAAAAACAAGCAUUUUUCUAGUUUCAUGACAAUAACUUGUGUGUAAGUCUAUGGAUCUCUCUGACAUUGUAUCACAUGGUUCCAUAUCACAAAGGGAAUGCUGGGAUUGAUUUUGGGGGUAAUUGCCUCCAAAUUUUAGGAAUUAGGGGCCAAAAAGUGGCAAAAAACAAGCAUUUUUCUAGUUUCAUGGCAAUAACUUGUGUGUAAGUGUAUGGAUCUUUAUGAAAUUGUACUACAAGGUUCCAUAUCACAAAGGGAAAGCUGGGUUUGAGUUUGGGGGUAAUUGCCCUAAACGUUUAGGAAUUUGGGACCAAAAAGGGGCCAAAAAACAAGCAUUUUUCUAGUUUCCAGGCAAUAACAUGUGUUCAAGUGUAUGGAUCUCUCUGAAAUUGUACUGCAAGGUACCAUACCACAAAGGGAAGGCUGGGAUUGAGUUUUGGGGUGAUGAAUCAUAAGGGGGUUCAAAAAAUUUUGG
Mytilus californianus (California mussel) is the source of this 1639-nucleotide long non-coding RNA. RefSeq lists it as uncharacterized. NCBI's taxonomy places the organism in Eukaryota, Metazoa, Mollusca, Bivalvia, Mytilida, Mytilidae. The record is from RefSeq and is a predicted model, not a curated record. The transcript is spliced from 3 exons.